UACGAGGGGAGCUAGCGUUGUUCGGAAUUACUGGGCGUAAAGCGCGCGUAGGCGGCUUUUUAAGUCAGAGGUGAAAGCCCGGGGCUCAACCCCGGAAUUGCCUUUGAAACUGGAAAGCUAGAAUCUUGGAGAGGUCAGUGGAAUUCCGAGUGUAGAGGUGAAAUUCGUAGAUAUUCGGAAGAACACCAGUGGCGAAGGCGACUGACUGGACAAGUAUUGACGCUGAGGUGCGAAAGCGUGGGGAGCAAACAGG
This 253-nucleotide ribosomal RNA is filed under the name uncultured bacterium. Its description in RNAcentral is "partial 16S ribosomal RNA". It matches the Rfam family "Bacterial small subunit ribosomal RNA", at positions 524 to 776 of the family's 1533-position model. RNAcentral also lists the same sequence under 1 other name. The record is from RNAcentral.